AGAGAGUAAACAGUACGUGAAACCGCAUAAAGGUAAACGGGUGGCGUCAAGCUGCUAGCCUGGAGGAUUCAGCUGGUCAUUUUGUGGGGUAUACGUCCUGUGUAUCGCAGUCGGGGAUAGUGAGUAGUCUGCUGGCAAACGGCAGGCCUGGUCGCAAGGCUAGGAUGUACGAUCCACGUGUUUGGUGGUGUACGCUGCUCGGCUAUUGGACUGGAUGGCCGGUGCACUUCCUCCAUUAAGGUGAACACCACGACCGGUGGAACUGCCAGUCUGGUAUAGCCAAGUUGUGUCUAUUUCGGCAUUCGUGCGGAUUAGGCUCAAUCACAGGCAGAUUCGGUGGACGGUGAGUAGACUCACGGGUUUGCUCAUGUUAUCGGUCACUGGCUGUCAACGGGUUUGUCCGCUGAGGUUGCAGUCCUUGGUGGGUGGCCUGGUGGGCUAUUCUGGUAAGAAUAACUGUGCAGGGCACCGGAGUUGUCGGUCUCUAAUCCGGUUGACACGCGCGCUGCAGGUGUGUGUGGAGGUGCCAUUUCGGCCUUUCGUUGCUUGAGUCUGAUUGCCGUGUCGCCUGCGAAAAGUAGGUCCGGUAGUGGCUCGACUACGGUCGGUGCAUGAAGUGGUGCUUCUCUGUCAGUCGGUGUGGACCCAACAGUCUGUGGUGUAGUGGUAGACGAGCUACCCGACCCGUCUUGAAACACGGACCAAGGAGUCUAACAA
This 717-nucleotide ribosomal RNA is filed under the name Tentaculariidae sp. 1 JB-2022. Its description in RNAcentral is "partial large subunit ribosomal RNA". Lineage: Eukaryota; Metazoa; Platyhelminthes; Cestoda; Trypanorhyncha; Tentaculariidae. RNAcentral also lists the same sequence under 1 other name. The record is from RNAcentral.